CGUGAGGCUGCUUUUCUGUGACUCAGAACCAGCGCAUCCCGCCGCUCACUGCAGGGGAUGAGCUGGAGAUGAUCCGGCCCAGCGUCUACCGCAACGUGGCGCGUCAGCUGCACAUCUCCCUGCAGUCUGAGCCUGUGGUGACCGAUGCGUUCCUGGCCGUGGCUGGCCACAUCUUCUCUGCAG
This 183-nucleotide small RNA is filed under the name Pongo abelii (Sumatran orangutan). RNAcentral's name for it is "processed transcript". The record is from RNAcentral. Lineage: Eukaryota; Metazoa; Chordata; Mammalia; Primates; Hominidae.